Molecule: non-coding RNA, 73 nt
Organism: Acanthoscelides obtectus
Lineage: Eukaryota; Metazoa; Arthropoda; Insecta; Coleoptera; Chrysomelidae
Source: the annotation of a GenBank genome assembly
GCCUCUGUAGCUCAGUGGCAGAACACUGGUCUUGUAAACCAGGGGUCUUUAGUUCAGUCCUCACGUGCAGUCA